This 253-nucleotide ribosomal RNA is filed under the name uncultured bacterium. RNAcentral's name for it is "partial 16S ribosomal RNA". It matches the Rfam family "Bacterial small subunit ribosomal RNA", at positions 524 to 776 of the family's 1533-position model. The record is from RNAcentral.
GACGUAGGGGGCAAGCGUUGUUCGGAAUUAUUGGGCGUAAAGAGCUCGUAGGCGGUUUGUCGCGUCGAAUGUGAAAACCCGGGGCUCAACCCCGGGCCUGCAUUCGAUACGGGCAGACUAGAGUUCGGUAGGGGAGUCUGGAAUUCCUGGUGUAGCGGUGAAAUGCGCAGAUAUCAGGAGGAACACGGGUGGCGAAGGCGGGACUCUGGGCCGAUACUGACGCUGAGGAGCGAAAGCGUGGGGAGCAAACAGG